AUUUGCAUGGACACUCACAGGCUUCGUUAACAGCAUCCUCCUCCAUGGGGUGGGCUGAGUGCUCACUCACAGGAUAACUGAUCAACCUCCUCCAUGGUGAGUGGUGAAUGCAUGGAUACUCAGGUCAACUGGUCAACCUCACCCUCCUCCAUAGGGUGUGCUGAGCGCACGGACACUCACAGGUUGACUGACCAACUUUGCCCUUAUGAGCAAGGCGAACUGGGAAGCACUUGGGACCCUUCUCAGAAAUAGGGGCGCAGUUGUGCCCUGUAGCCUUAGGUACUUGGCAGUGCCCUCCCAACUUGCCUCCACACAAAAACCUCGCUGCGUGACCGCCUGCCCUG
RNAcentral lists this long non-coding RNA (344 nucleotides) under Bos taurus (domestic cattle). RNAcentral's name for it is "long non-coding RNA NONBTAT019152". The record is from RNAcentral. Lineage: Eukaryota; Metazoa; Chordata; Mammalia; Artiodactyla; Bovidae.